Molecule: ribosomal RNA, 460 nt
Filed under: uncultured bacterium
Lineage: Bacteria
Description: partial 16S ribosomal RNA
Rfam family: Bacterial small subunit ribosomal RNA
Source: RNAcentral
CCUACGGGUGGCAGCAGUGAGGAAUAUUGGUCAAUGGACGAGAGUCUGAACCAGCCAAGUAGCGUGAAGGAUGACUGCCCUAUUGGUUGUAAACCUCUUUUAUCUGGGAAUAAAAUGUUCCACGUGUGGGAUUUUGUAUGUACCCUAUGAAUAAGCAUCGGCUAACUCCGUGCCAGCAGCCGCGGUAAUACGGAGGAUCCGAGCGUUAUCCGGAUUUAUUGGGUUUAAAGGGAGCGUAGGUGGAGUGUUAAGUCAGUUGUGAAAGUUUGCGGCUCAACCGUAACAUUGCAGUUGAAACUGGGAGUCUUGAGUGCAGUAGAGGUGGGCGGAAUGCGUGGUGUAGCGGUGAAAUGCUUAGAUAUCACGCAGAACUCCGAUUGCGAAGGCAGCUCACUGGAGUGCAACUGACACUGAGGCUCGAAGGUGUGGGUAUCGAACAGGAUUAGAUACCCUUGUAGUC